This 223-nucleotide ribosomal RNA is filed under the name uncultured bacterium. Its description in RNAcentral is "partial 16S ribosomal RNA". It matches the Rfam family "Bacterial small subunit ribosomal RNA", at positions 328 to 539 of the family's 1533-position model. The record is from RNAcentral.
ACGCUCGACACCUACGGAGGCAGCAGUAGGGAAUCUUCCACAAUGGGCGGCAAGCCUGAUGGAGCAACACCGCGUGAGUGAAGAAGGGUUUCGGCUCGUAAAGCUCUGUUGUUGGAGAAGAACGUGCGUGAGAGUAACUGUUCACGCAGUGACGGUAUCCAACCAGAAAGUCACGGCUAACUACGUGUCAGCAGCCGCGGUAAUCUGAGCGGGCUGGCAAGGC